UUCCGCUGGGGGGUGUUGGCGCCCCGACCUUCGGGGGCUCAUUUUUGGGCGCGGCUGUGCCCGUGUCCUAUUUUUGGCACACGGAGGCCGCCCGCAAAGUCUGGGGCCAUUCCGAGUCCGGCGGACGAACUUCGCCCACGCCCCCCGCCAAGGCUAUAGCACACCCGUUUCUGGGCCAUUUUUCCGCUGGGGGGUGUUGGCGCCCCGACCUUCGGGCGCUCAUUUUUGGGCGCGGCUGUGCCCGUGGCCUAUUUUUGGCACACGGAGGCCGCCCGCAAAGUCUGGGGCCAUUGCGAGUCCGGCGGACGAACUUCGCCCACGCCCCCCGCCAAGGCUAUAGCACACCCGUUUCUGGGCCAUUUUUCUGCUGGGGGGAGUUGGCGCCCCGACCUUCGGGCGCUCAUUUUUGGACGCGGCUGUGCCCGUGGCCUAUUUUUGGCACACGGAGGCCGCCCGCAAAGUCUGGGGCCAUUCCGAGUCCGGCGGACGAACUUCGCCCACGCCCCCCUCCAAGGCUAUAGCCCACCCGUUUUUUGGCCAUUUUUCCGCUGGGGGGUGUUGGAACCCGACCUUCGGGAGCUCAUUUUUGGGCGCGGCUAAGCCCGUGGCCUAUUUUUGGCACACGGAGGCCGCCCGUAAAGUCUGGGGCCAUUCCGAGUCCGGCGGACGAACUUCGCCCACGCCCCCCGCCAAGGCUAUAGCACACCCGUUUCUGGGCCAUUUUUCCGCUGGGGGGUGUUGGCGCCCCGACCUUCGGGCGCUCAUUUUUGGGCGCGGCUGUGCCCGUGGCCUAUUUUUGGCACACGGAGGCCGCCCGCAAAGUCUGGGGCCAUUCCGAGUCCGGCGGACGAACUUCGCCCGCGGCCCCCGCCAAAGGCUAUAGCCCACCCUUUUUUUGGCCAUUUUUCCGCUGGGGGGUGUUGGCGGCCCGACCUUCGGGCGCUCAUUUUUGGGCGCGGCUGUGUCCGUGGCCUAUUUUUUGCACACGGAGGCCGCCCGCAAAGUCUGGGGCCAUUCCGAGUCCGGCGGACGAACUUCGCCCACGCCCCCCUCCAAGGCUAUAGCCCACCCGUUUUUUGGCCAAUUUUCCGCUGGGGGGUGUUGGAACCCGACCUUCGGGAGCUCAUUUUUGGGCGCGGCUAAGCCCGUGGCCUAUUUUUGGCACACGGAGGCCGCCCGUAAAGUCUGGGGCCAUUCCGAGUCCGGCGGACGAACUUCGCCCACGCCCCCCACCAAGGCUAUCGGCCACCCGUUUUUCGGCCAAUUUUCCGCUGGGGGGUGUUGGCGCCCCGACCUUCGGGCGCUCGUUUUUGGGCGCGGCUGCGCCCGUGGACUAUUUUUGGCGCACGGAGGCCGCCCGCAAAGUCUGGGGCCAUUCCGAGUCCGGCGGACGAACUUCGCCCACGCCCCCCGCCAAGGCUAUAGCCCACCCAUUUUUUGGCCAUUUUUCCGCUGGGGGGUGUUGGCGCCCCGACCUUUGGGCGCUCAUUUUUGGGCGCGGCUGUGCCCGUGGCCUAUUUUUGGCACACGGAGGCCGCCCGCAAAGUCUGGGGCCAUUCCGAGUCCGGCGGACGAACUUCGCCCACGCCCCCCGCCAAGGCUAUAGCACACCCGUUUUUUGGCCAUUUUUCCGCUGGGGGGUGUUGGCGGCCCGACCUU
RNAcentral lists this long non-coding RNA (1659 nucleotides) under Citrus x clementina. RNAcentral's name for it is "Citrus clementina (C. clementina) long non-coding RNA (CCLE_LNC005965)". The record is from RNAcentral. Lineage: Eukaryota; Viridiplantae; Streptophyta; Magnoliopsida; Sapindales; Rutaceae.